Molecule: ribosomal RNA, 471 nt
Filed under: uncultured bacterium
Lineage: Bacteria
Description: partial 16S ribosomal RNA
Rfam family: Bacterial small subunit ribosomal RNA
Source: RNAcentral
GACGAACGCUGGCGGCGUGCUUAACACAUGCAAGUCGAACGAUGAAGCCUAGCUUGCUAGGUUGUUUAGUUGCGAACGGGUGAGUAAUACGUGAGUAACCUACCUUUAACUCUGGGAUAAGCCCGUGCAACUGGGUCUAAUACCUGAUACGACCAAUCUCCGCCUGGGUUGUUGGUGGGAAGCGUUAUGUAGUGGUUAUAGAUGGGCUGACGGCCUAUCAGCUUUUUGGUGAGGUAACGGCUCACCAAGGCGAAGACGGAUAGCCGGCCUGAGAGUGUGAGCAGCGACAAGGCGACUGAGAGACGGAGCAGAAUCGUACGGGAGGCAGCAGUGGGGAAUAUUGCACAGUGGGGGCAAGCCAGAUGCAGAGAUGCCGCGUGAGGGAUAACGGGCUACGGGGUGUAAACAUAUGUGAGAAGGGAAGAAGAGAGAUUGACGGUACCUGCAGAGAAAGCGACGGCUAACUACGUG